AACGAACGCUGGCGGCAUGCCUAACACAUGCAAGUCGAACGAGACCUUCGGGUCUAGUGGCGCACGGGUGCGUAACGCGUGGGAAUCUACCCUUGGGCUCGGAAUAACUCAGAGAAAUUUGAGCUAAUACCGGAUGAUGUCGCAAGACCAAAGAUUUAUCGCCCAAGGAUGAGCCCGCGUAGGAUUAGCUUGUUGGUGAGGUAAAAGCUCACCAAGGCGACGAUCCUUAGCUGGUCUGAGAGGAUGAUCAGCCACACUGGGACUGAGACUCGGCCCAGACUCCUACGGGAGGCAGCAGUGGGGAAUAUUGGACAAUGGGCGAAAGCCUGAUCCAGCAAUGCCGCGUGAGUGAUGAAGGCCUCAGGUUGUAAAGCUCUUUUACCCGGGAUGAUAAUGACAGUACCGGGAGAAUAAGCCCCGGCUAACUCCGUGCCAGCAGCCGCGGU
This 446-nucleotide ribosomal RNA is filed under the name uncultured bacterium. RNAcentral's name for it is "bacterial SSU rRNA". It matches the Rfam family "Bacterial small subunit ribosomal RNA", at positions 29 to 521 of the family's 1533-position model. The record is from RNAcentral.